CCGGAGGCUCAGGCCACCUUCUUGAAAUCAUGACUCCUGUUUAUAGCCCUGGGUCUUCUGGGGUUCCCUAUGCAAAUGCCAAAGGAAUUGGACAUCCAGCUGGUGUUCCUGUGGGCUACGCAGCAGCUCCUGCCUAUUCUCCUAGCAUGUACCCGGAGCAAAUCCUACCUUCCAAACAGGCUACACUCCUGGUACACCUUACAAAGUGUCCUGUUCCCCAACCAGCGGCGCUGUGCCACCAUACUCCUCCUCCCCCAACCCCGACCAGACGGCUGUGUACCCAGUGCGAAGUGCCUACCCCCAGCAGAGCCCGGAUGCCCAGUUGUCUCUGUUUUCCCCGCAGCAAGGCACGUACUAUACACAGCCUCUGUAUGCAGCACCCCCUUACGUCAUUCACCACACCACGGUGGUGCAGCCCAAUGGCAUGCCAGCAACUGUCUGCCCUGCUCCCAUCCCUCCUCCUAGAGGCAGCGGGGUCACCAUGGGCAUGGUUGCUGGGACCACAAUGGCCAUGUCCGCAGGUACCCUGUUGACUGCUCAUUCUCCAACUCCUGUCGCCCCUCACCCAGUCACUGUCCCCACAUAUCGAGCCCCAGGAACACCCACCUACAGCUAUGUGCCCCCUCAGUGGUGAUUACCCUGCGAAUUAAUAUUUGAGGACGGAGCUGUGCAGUCACUUCAUUGGGUUCCACAGCUGGUGCUGCAGGCCUUGUGCCUCCAACCAGGACUUUCUUCUUAAUGCUCUCGACACUUAGCUAAACACGACUGCGUC
Molecule: non-coding RNA, 772 nt
Organism: Myodes glareolus (Bank vole)
Lineage: Eukaryota; Metazoa; Chordata; Mammalia; Rodentia; Cricetidae
Source: RefSeq, a predicted model, not a curated record